CUUAAAUGAAUUGACGGGACCCGCACAAGCAGAGGAGCGCGUGGUUUAAUUCGACGGCAAUCGAAGAACCUUACCAGGGUUUGAAAUGUAUCUGCAUGCCCUAUGAAAUAGGAGGCCUUCGAGGGUGAUACACAGGUGCUGCAUGGCCGCCGUCAGCUCGUGUCGUGGGAUGUAGGGUUAAGUCCCGAAACGAGCGCAACCCCUAUUCUAUGUUACAAGUGUCUUAGAAAACCGCCUCGGUAAAACGAGGAGGAAGGUGGGGAUGACGUCUGGUCCGCAUAGCCCUUAUGUCCUGGGCUACACACGCGCUACAAUGGCCGAUACAGUAGGAAGCCAAAUCGUAAGAUGGAGCUAAUCCUUAAAGUCGGUCUCAGUUCGGAUUGAGGUCUGAAAUUCGACCUCAUGAAGUUGGAUUUGCUAGUAAUCGUAGAUCAGCAAUGCUACGGUGAAUACGUUCCCGGGCCUU
This 466-nucleotide ribosomal RNA is filed under the name uncultured Thermovirga sp. RNAcentral's name for it is "bacterial SSU rRNA". It matches the Rfam family "Bacterial small subunit ribosomal RNA", at positions 900 to 1382 of the family's 1533-position model. The record is from RNAcentral. Lineage: Bacteria; Thermotogati; Synergistota; Synergistia; Synergistales; Thermovirgaceae.